This 468-nucleotide ribosomal RNA is filed under the name uncultured bacterium. Its description in RNAcentral is "partial 16S ribosomal RNA". It matches the Rfam family "Bacterial small subunit ribosomal RNA", at positions 28 to 507 of the family's 1533-position model. The record is from RNAcentral.
GACGAACGCUGGCGGCGUGCUUAACACAUGCAAGUCGAACGGAAAGGCCCUGCUUUUGUGGUGUGCUCGAGUGGCGAACGGGUGAGUAACACGUGAGUAACCUUCCCUUGACUUUGGGAUAACUUCAGGAAACUGGGGCUAAUACCGGAUAGGAGCUCCUGCUGCAUGGUGGGGGUUGGAAAGUUUCGGCGGUUGGGGAUGGACUCGCGGCUUAUCAGCUUGUUGGUGGGGUAGUGGCUUACCAAGGCUUUGACGGGUAGCCGGCCUGAGAGGGUGACCGGGGACAUUGGGACUGAGAGAGGGACCAGACUCCUACGGGAGGCAGCAGUGGGGAAUAUUGCACAAUGGGCGGAAGCCUGAGGAAGAAACGCCGCGUGCGGGAUGACGGCCUUCGGGUUGUAAACCGCUUUCGCCUGUGACGAAGCGUGAGUGACGGUAAUGGGUAAAGAAGCACCGGCUAACUACGUG